UUCAUCAAGAGCGGAGGAGGGACUGGCCCUGUGAAUCCGCGGCAACCAUUCGAAAGAAAAGGUGCCAAUUCCAGCGGGGAUUGCCCGGAAGAUGA
RNAcentral lists this non-coding RNA (95 nucleotides) under human gut metagenome. RNAcentral's name for it is "SAM riboswitch (S box leader)". It matches the Rfam family "SAM riboswitch aptamer (S box leader)". From Rfam's summary of the family: The SAM riboswitch is found upstream of a number of genes which code for proteins involved in methionine or cysteine biosynthesis in Gram-positive bacteria. The SAM riboswitch acts at the level of transcription termination control. The record is from RNAcentral.